AAUUGGAGGGCAAGUCUGGUGCCAGCAGCCGCGGUAAUUCCAGCUCCAAUAGCGUAUAUUAAAGUUGUUGCAGUUAAAAAGCUCGUAGUUGAAUUUCGGGGUUAGUAGGUUGGUCAUGCCUCUGGUAUGUACUGAUCUCACUGAUUCCUCCUUCCUUAUGAACCGUAAUGCCAUUAAUUUGGUGUUGCGGGGAAUUUGGACUGUUACUUUGAAAAAAUUAGAGUGUUUAAAGCGGGCUAACGCUUGAAUACAUUAGCAUGGAAUAAUGAAAUAGGACGUUCGAUCUUAUUUUGUUGGUUUCUAGGAUUGACGUAAUGAUUAAUAGGGAUAGUUGGGGGCAUUAGUAUUCAAUUGUCAGAGGUGAAAUUCUUGGAUUUAUUGAAGACUAACUACUGCGAAAGCAUUUGCCAAGGAUGUUUUCAUUAAUCAAGAACGAAAGUUAGGGGAUCGAAGACGAUCAGAUACCGUCGUAGUCUUAACCAUAAACUAUGCCGACUAGGGAUCGGAUGAUGUUAAUUUUUUAAUGACUCAUUCGGCGCCUUACGGGAAACCAAAGUGU
RNAcentral lists this ribosomal RNA (559 nucleotides) under uncultured Glomus. RNAcentral's name for it is "SSU rRNA". It matches the Rfam family "Eukaryotic small subunit ribosomal RNA", at positions 546 to 1106 of the family's 1831-position model. Lineage: Eukaryota; Fungi; Glomeromycota; Glomeromycetes; Glomerales; Glomeraceae. The record is from RNAcentral.